GCUGCCUGAGAUUCCUAAUAUAAAAUGAAUUCAUGAAGAAUUGAAUGGUGCUUGCUAUGUGCCUGACUGAUGAAAAUAAAUCAGCUUGCUUCAAGUAUGCCUAUUCUUCAAGUAUGCCUAUUCUCCCCUCUUUAGAGAACAGAUCAUUUUGAUCUUUCUCUAAACCUUGUUUAAUCCAAAAGACAGAUUCUGGGUAUUUAAAAAAAAGAAUCUCAUAACCACUGAAGCGCUGGGCUGUCAUGUGUUGUGUGGUGAGAUUUGUCAUCAGCUGAGUGACCUGGUGACUGGCAUGAAGUAUUGUAGGAUGCCCUAGUGUGAUAGUAGUAGCAGUUUCAACAGCCAUUGCACAUGCUAUCAAUGCUCUGAGACACGCCGGCAUACCCUGUACCGGAGCUCGAACUACUUUGGAAAAGAAUGCUAUGGGACGCAUACCGCCUCCUUGCUCUUGUGCACAGACUGCGGCCAUGGUUUUACAAUUGUCCCAAGCAUACAAAUGAAAUGGUUUACAAUACACAGGUAGUCCUAAAGCCUGGGCUUGCACAAUAACAACUGUAAGGGCAAUAUAUGCAGCUAGCAUGUCUGGUGACCAGCAGAUAUUUUCAGGGCUGUCAGAACGUACAGCCUCCCUUAGGAUUGAGUCAUAAUGGGAGCAUUCAGGGAUCCAUUGGUGGCAGUAAUUAAUCAUGCCGAGGAAGGUGAGCAACUCCUUCCGAGUAGUGGGUGUAGGAAUCCUCUGAAUGACCUCAAUACGUUUUGGACUCAAUUGUCUGGUGCCUAAAGCCAGAACAAAACCUAAGUAUUCAACCUUUGAUUUACACAAUUGCAUUUUGUGUUUAACAACCUUGUGACCUAUAGUUGCUGACAGUAUCCACAGUGCUUGCCUCAGAGCUAGGGCUACAUAACAACAAAUCAUCAACAUUUUGCAAAAAGGACGGAACCAUGACCGGUGGUCCAUGUUUUUUAGAGUAUGUUGGAGUACCAACGAAUAAACAGCUGGGGAACACACAUAGCCUUGGGUAAGCGUGUCCAGGUAAACUGACAGCCUUCAAAAAGUAAAAACCAUAAGUAGCUGUGUCUCUUGAUCAAUAGGUAUAGAAAAAAAUGCAUUACUUAAAUCAAUGACAGUGAAGCAAGUGGCAUCAUGUGGAAUGGCUGUAAUGAGGGAUGUCACAUCAGGGACAAUGGGUGAAAUGGGCACAAUUAAACUAUUCAGGGCUCUAAAGUCCUGAACUAAGCGAUAUGCUGGCCAGUGGUGUUGGGAGUGGGUCUGGUGUUGUUCUUGCCUACCGGGCAUAUUUUGAGAAUUGUGGGGUUGUUGGGGUGUGUGGGGUUUCCUGGGGUGUGGACACUCAUUCCUCCAGUGGCCAUAUUGUCCACAGUUGAAACAAGUGUUCCUGUCUAUUCCUCCUUGGUUACCCCUGCCCCUAUAACCCUGAUUUCCCUGUCUCCAUCACCUUGCCCCUCUUUGACCACCCCUUCCACGGGCUUUAUGUGCUCCAUCCCAUCCUUGCUCUCAGCCUGUGUAGGUGGCAAUCCCUGAGCAUAAU
RNAcentral lists this long non-coding RNA (1547 nucleotides) under Pelobates cultripes (western spadefoot toad). Lineage: Eukaryota; Metazoa; Chordata; Amphibia; Anura; Pelobatidae. The record is from RNAcentral.